GCGGGUGGAGCAGCUCGGUAGCUCGCUGGGCUCAUAACCCCGAGGUCGCAGGUUCAAAUCCUGUCCCCGCU
This 71-nucleotide transfer RNA is filed under the name Rhodococcus (subgen. Prescottella) equi. Its description in RNAcentral is "Rhodococcus hoagii tRNA-Met". It matches the Rfam family "tRNA". From Rfam's summary of the family: Transfer RNA (tRNA) molecules are approximately 80 nucleotides in length. Their secondary structure includes four short double-helical elements and three loops (D, anti-codon, and T loops). The record is from RNAcentral. Lineage: Bacteria; Bacillati; Actinomycetota; Actinomycetes; Mycobacteriales; Nocardiaceae.